RNAcentral lists this ribosomal RNA (1355 nucleotides) under uncultured bacterium. Its description in RNAcentral is "16S ribosomal RNA". It matches the Rfam family "Bacterial small subunit ribosomal RNA", at positions 44 to 1395 of the family's 1533-position model. The record is from RNAcentral.
GCGCUUAACACAUGCAAGUCGAGGCGUGCAUGGUCUUAGCUUGCUAAGGCCGAUGGCGACCGGCGCACGGGUGAGUAACACGUAUCCAACCUGCCGUCUACUCUUGGACAGCCUUCUGAAAGGAAGAUUAAUACAAGAUGGCAUCAUGAGUCCGCAUGUUCACAUGAUUAAAGGUAUUCCGGUAGACGAUGGGGAUGCGUUCCAUUAGAUAGUAGGCGGGGUAACGGCCCACCUAGUCUUCGAUGGAUAGGGGUUCUGAGAGGAAGGUCCCCCACAUUGGAACUGAGACACGGUCCAAACUCCUACGGGAGGCAGCAGUGAGGAAUAUUGGUCAAUGGGCGAGAGCCUGAACCAGCCAAGUAGCGUGAAGGAUGACUGCCCUAUGGGUUGUAAACUUCUUUUAUAAAGGAAUAAAGUCGGGUAUGGAUACCCGUUUGCAUGUACUUUAUGAAUAAGGAUCGGCUAACUCCGUGCCAGCAGCCGCGGUAAUACGGAGGAUCCGAGCGUUAUCCGGAUUUAUUGGGUUUAAAGGGAGCGUAGAUGGAUGUUUAAGUCAGUUGUGAAAGUUUGCGGCUCAACCGUAAAAUUGCAGUUGAUACUGGAUAUCUUGAGUGCAGUUGAGGCAGGCGGAAUUCGUGGUGUAGCGGUGAAAUGCUUAGAUAUCACGAAGAACUCCGAUUGCGAAGGCAGCCUGCUAAGCUGCAACUGACAUUGAGGCUCGAAAGUGUGGGUAUCAAACAGGAUUAGAUACCCUGGUAGUCCACACGGUAAACGAUGAAUACUCGCUGUUUGCGAUAUACUGCAAGCGGCCAAGCGAAAGCGUUAAGUAUUCCACCUGGGGAGUACGCCGGCAACGGUGAAACUCAAAGGAAUUGACGGGGGCCCGCACAAGCGGAGGAACAUGUGGUUUAAUUCGAUGAUACGCGAGGAACCUUACCCGGGCUUAAAUUGCAGAUGAAUUACGGUGAAAGCCGUAAGCCGCAAGGCAUCUGUGAAGGUGCUGCAUGGUUGUCGUCAGCUCGUGCCGUGAGGUGUCGGCUUAAGUGCCAUAACGAGCGCAACCCUUGUUGUCAGUUACUAACAGGUUCCGCUGAGGACUCUGACAAGACUGCCAUCGUAAGAUGUGAGGAAGGUGGGGAUGACGUCAAAUCAGCACGGCCCUUACGUCCGGGGCUACACACGUGUUACAAUGGGGGGUACAGAGGGCCGCUACCACGCGAGUGGAUGCCAAUCCCCAAAACCUCUCUCAGUUCGGACUGGAGUCUGCAACCCGACUCCACGAAGCUGGAUUCGCUAGUAAUCGCGCAUCAGCCACGGCGCGGUGAAUACGUUCCCGGGCCUUGCACACACCGCCC